RNAcentral lists this ribosomal RNA (492 nucleotides) under uncultured bacterium. RNAcentral's name for it is "partial 16S ribosomal RNA". It matches the Rfam family "Bacterial small subunit ribosomal RNA", at positions 29 to 507 of the family's 1533-position model. The record is from RNAcentral.
AGUGAACGCUGGCGGUAGGCCUAACACAUGCAAGUCGAACGGCAGCACAGUAAGAGCUUGCUCUUACGGGUGGCGAGUGGCGGACGGGUGAGGAAUACAUCGGAAUCUACUUUUUCGUGGGGGAUAACGUAGGGAAACUUACGCUAAUACCGCAUACGACCUACGGGUGAAAGCAGGGGAUCUUCGGACCUUGCGCGAUUGAAUGAGCCGAUGUCGGAUUAGCUAGUUGGCGGGGUAAAGGCCCACCAAGACGACGAUCCGUAGCUGGUCUGAGAGGAUGAUCCGCCACACUGGAACUGAGACACGGUCCAGACUCCUACGGGAGGCAGCAGUGGGGAAUAUUGGACAAUGGGCGCAAGCCUGAUCCAGCCAUACCGCGUGGGUGAAGAAGGCCUUCGGGUUGUAAAGCCCUUUUGUUGGGAAAGAAAAGCAGCAGGUUAAUACCCCGCUGUUCUGACGGUACCCAAAGAAUAAGCACCGGCUAACUUCGUG